This 70-nucleotide transfer RNA is filed under the name Dipodomys ordii (Ord's kangaroo rat). It matches the Rfam family "tRNA". Rfam says of the family: Transfer RNA (tRNA) molecules are approximately 80 nucleotides in length. Their secondary structure includes four short double-helical elements and three loops (D, anti-codon, and T loops). Further hydrogen bonds mediate the characteristic L-shaped molecular structure. tRNAs have two regions of fundamental functional importance: the anti-codon, which is responsible for specific mRNA codon recognition, and the 3' end, to which the tRNAs corresponding amino acid is attached (by aminoacyl-tRNA synthetases). tRNAs cope with the degeneracy of the genetic code in two manners: having more than one tRNA (with a specific anti-codon) for a particular amino acid; and 'wobble' base-pairing, i.e. permitting non-standard base-pairing at the 3rd anti-codon position. Lineage: Eukaryota; Metazoa; Chordata; Mammalia; Rodentia; Heteromyidae. The record is from Rfam by way of RNAcentral.
GGUAAGGUGGCUCAGUGGCAGAGCACUUGCCUUGCAUGCAUGAGGCCCUGGGUUCGAUUCCUCAGCACCA